UCCUGAGGGUGAGGGCAGCAAGGAGAGGUGAGGACAGGGAGAGAACCAUAGACCCCCUCCCCGAGGGCAGCAAGGAGAGGUGAGGACAGGGAGAGAACCAUAGACCCCCUCCUCCCCGAGGGCAACAAGGAGAGGUGAGGACAGGGAGAGAACCAUAGACCCCCUCCCCGAGGGCAGCAAGGAGAGGUGAGGACAGGGAGAGAACCAUAGACCCCCUUCCAGAGGGCAGCAAGGAGAGGUGAGGACAGGGAGAGAACCAUAGACCCCCUCCCCAAGGGCAGCAAGGAGAGGUGAGGACAGGGAGAGAACCAUAGACCCCCUCCCCGAGGGCAGCAAGGAGAGGUGAGGACAGGGAGAGAACCAUAGACCCCCUCCCCGAGGGCAGCAAGGAGAGGUGAGGACAGAGGGGGACCAUAGACCCCCUCCCCGGGGGCAGCAAGGAGAGGUGAGGACAGGGAGAGAACCAUAGACCCCCUCCCCGAGGGCAGCAAGGAGAGGUGAGGACAGGGAGAGAACCAUAGACCCCCUCCCCGAGGGCAGCAAGGAGAGGUGAGGACAGAGGGGGACCAUAGACCCCCUCCCCGAGGGCAGCAAGGAGAGGUGAGGACAGGGAGAGAACCAUAGACCCCCUCCCCGAGGGCAGCAAGGAGAGGUGAGGACAGGGAGAGAACCAUAGACCCCCUCCUCCCCGAGGGCAGCAAGGAGAGGUGAGGACAGGGAGAGAACCAUAGACCCCCUCCCCAAGGGCAGCAAGGAGAGGUGAGGACAGGGAGAGAACCAUAGACCCCCUCCCCAAGGGCAGCAAGGAGAGGUGAGGACAGGGAGAGAACCAUAGACCCCCUCCCCGAGGGCAGCAAGGAGAGGUGAGGACAGGGAGAGAACCAUAGACCCCCUCCCCAAGGGCAGCAAGGAGAGGUGAGGACAGGGAGAGAACCAUAGACCCCCUCCCCGAGGGCAGCAAGGAGAGGUGAGGACAGGGAGAGAACCAUAGACCCCCUCCCCAAGGGCAGCAAGGAGAGGUGAGGACAGGGAGAGAACCAUAGACCCCCUCCCCAAGGGCAGCAAGGAGAGGUGAGGACAGGGAGAGAACCAUAGACCCCCUCCCCAAGGGCAGCAAGGAGAGGUGAGGACAGGGAGAGAACCAUAGACCCCCUCCCCAAGGGCAGCAAGGAGAGGUGAGGACAGGGAGAGAACCAUAGACCCCCUCCCCAAGGGCAGCAAGGAGAGGUGAGGACAGGGAGAGAACCAUAGACCCCCUCCCCGAGGGCAGCAAGGAGAGGUGAGGACAGGGAGAGAACCAUAGACCCCCUCCUCCCCGAGGGCAACAAGGAGAGGUGAGGACAGGGAGAGAACCAUAGACCCCCUCCCCGAGGGCAGCAAGGAGAGGUGAGGACAGGGAGAGAACCAUAGACCCCCUCCCCAAGGGCAGCAAGGAGAGGUGAGGACAGGGAGAGAACCAUAGACCCCCUCCCCAAGGGCAGCAAGGAGAGGUGAGGACAGGGAGAGGACCAUAGACCCCCUCCCCGAGGGCAGCAAGGAGAGGUGA
This is a long non-coding RNA of Oncorhynchus keta (chum salmon), 1546 nucleotides long. RefSeq lists it as uncharacterized. The transcript is spliced from 13 exons. The record is from RefSeq and is a predicted model, not a curated record. Lineage: Eukaryota; Metazoa; Chordata; Actinopteri; Salmoniformes; Salmonidae.